CAGUAGCCGCGGUAAUACGUAGGGUCCGAGCGUUGUCCGGAAUUACUGGGCGUAAAGAGCUCGUAGGUGGUUUGUCGCGUUGUUCGUGAAAACUCACAGCUCAACUGUGGGCGUGCGGGCGAUACGGGCAGACUGGAGUACUGCAGGGGAGACUGGAAUUCCUGGUGUAGCGGUGGAAUGCGCAGAUAUCAGGAGGAACACCGGUGGCGAAGGCGGGUCUCUGGGCAGUAACUGACGCUGAGGAGCGAAAGCGUGGGGAGCGAACAGGAUUAGAGACCCGUGUAGUCCCUGUCUCUUAUAU
This 301-nucleotide ribosomal RNA is filed under the name uncultured bacterium. RNAcentral's name for it is "partial 16S ribosomal RNA". It matches the Rfam family "Bacterial small subunit ribosomal RNA", at positions 509 to 809 of the family's 1533-position model. The record is from RNAcentral.